RNAcentral lists this ribosomal RNA (881 nucleotides) under uncultured bacterium. RNAcentral's name for it is "bacterial SSU rRNA". It matches the Rfam family "Bacterial small subunit ribosomal RNA", at positions 547 to 1429 of the family's 1533-position model. The record is from RNAcentral.
GGAAUUNCUGGGCGUAAAGCGGGCGCAGACGGUUACUUAAGCAGGAUGUGAAAUCCCCGGGCUCAACCUGGGAACUGCGUUNUGAACUGGGUGACUAGAGUGUGUCAGAGGGAGGUAGAAUUCCACGUGUAGCAGUGAAAUGCGUAGAGAUGUGGAGGAAUACCGAUGGCGAAGGCAGCCUCCUGGGAUAACACUGACGUUCAUGCCCGAAAGCGUGGGUAGCAAACAGGAUUAGAUACCCUGGUAGUNCACGCCCUAAACGAUGUCGAUUAGCUGUUGGGCAGCAUGACUGCUUAGUAGCGAAGCUAACGCGUGAAAUCGACCGCCUGGGGAGUACGGUCGCAAGAUUACAACUCAAAGGAAUUGACGGGGACCCGCACAAGCGGUGGAUGAUGUGGAUUAAUUCGAUGCAACGCGAAGAACCUUACCUGGUCUUGACAUGUACGGAACCCUCCAGAGACGGAGGGGUGCCUUCGGGAGCCGUAACACAGGUGCUGCAUGGCUGUCGUCAGCUCGUGUCGUGAGAUGUUGGGUUAAGUCCCGCAACGAGCGCAACCCUUGUCAUUAGUUGCCAUCAUUAAGUUGGGCACUCUAAUGAGACUGCCGGUGACAAGCCGGAGGAAGGUGGGGAUGACGUCAAGUCCUCAUGGCCCUUAUGACCAGGGCUUCACACGUCAUACAAUGGUCGGUACAGAGGGUAGCCAAGCCGCGAGGUGGAGCCAAUCUCACAAAACCGAUCGUAGUCCGGAUUGCACUCUGCAACUCGAGUGCAUGAAGUCGGAAUCGCUAGUAAUCGCAGGUCAGCAUACUGCGGUGAAUACGUUCCCGGGUCUUGUACACACCGCCCGUCACACCAUGGGAGUGGGGGAUACCAGAAGUAG